Molecule: ribosomal RNA, 460 nt
Filed under: uncultured bacterium
Lineage: Bacteria
Description: bacterial SSU rRNA
Rfam family: Bacterial small subunit ribosomal RNA
Source: RNAcentral
GCUGUGGAACUCCUACGGGAGGCAGCAGCGGGGAAUAUUGGACAAUGGGCGCAAGCCUGAUCCAGCCACGCCGCGUGAGUGAUGAAGGCCCUAGGGUUGUAAAGCUCUUUUGUGCGGGAAGAUAAUGACGGUACCGCAAGAAUAAGCCCCGGCUAACUUCGUGCCAGCAGCCGCGGUAAUACGAGGGGGGCUAGCGUUGCUCGGAAUCACUGGGCGUAAAGGGUGCGUAGGCGGGUCUUUAAGUCAGGGGUGAAAUCCUGGAGCUCAACUCCAGAACUGCCUUUGAUACUGAGGAUCUUGAGUUCGGGAGAGGUGAGUGGAACUGCGAGUGUAGAGGUGAAAUUCGUAGAUAUUCGCAAGAACACCAGUGGCGAAGGCGGCUCACUGGCCCGGAACUGACGCUGAGGUGCGAAAGCGUGGGGAGCAAACAGGAUUAGAUACCCCUGUAGUCCUACCACGU